This 502-nucleotide ribosomal RNA is filed under the name uncultured bacterium. RNAcentral describes it as "partial 16S ribosomal RNA". It matches the Rfam family "Bacterial small subunit ribosomal RNA", at positions 28 to 523 of the family's 1533-position model. The record is from RNAcentral.
GAUGAACGCUAGCGGCAGGCUUAAUACAUGCAAGUCGAGGGGCAGCGCGGGUAGCAAUACCUGGCGGCGACCGGCAAACGGGUGCGGAACACGUACGCAACCUUCCCAUAACUGGUGAAUAGCCCUCCGAAAGGAGGAUUAAUACACCGUAACAUAACGAAGAGGCGUCUUUGUGUUAUUAUAGUAGCAAUACGGUAUUGGAUGGGCGUGCGCCUGAUUAGGUAGUUGGCGGGGUAACGGCCCACCAAGCCUGCGAUCAGUAACUGGUGUGAGAGCACGACCAGUCACACGGGCACUGAGACACGGGCCCGACUCCUACGGGAGGCAGCAGUAAGGAAUAUUGGUCAAUGGACGAAAGUCUGAACCAGCCAUGCCGCGUGAAGGAUUAAGGCCCUCUGGGUUGUAAACUUCUUUUAUCUGGGACGAAAAAAGGGCAUUCUUGCUCACUUGACGGUACCAGAGGAAUAAGCACCGGCUAACUCCGUGCCAGCCGCCGCCGUAA